GGAGGGGUGGCCGAGCGGUUGAAGGCGCACGCCUGGAAAGUGUGUAUGGGGGAAACUCCAUCGCGGGUUCGAAUCCCGCUCCCUCCGCCA
Molecule: transfer RNA, 90 nt
Filed under: Alphaproteobacteria bacterium
Lineage: Bacteria; Pseudomonadati; Pseudomonadota; Alphaproteobacteria
Also listed under: 2 other names
Description: tRNA-Ser
Rfam family: tRNA
About the family: Transfer RNA (tRNA) molecules are approximately 80 nucleotides in length. Their secondary structure includes four short double-helical elements and three loops (D, anti-codon, and T loops).
Source: RNAcentral